RNAcentral lists this ribosomal RNA (515 nucleotides) under uncultured chicken cecal bacterium. RNAcentral's name for it is "bacterial SSU rRNA". It matches the Rfam family "Bacterial small subunit ribosomal RNA", at positions 8 to 521 of the family's 1533-position model. The record is from RNAcentral.
AGAGUUUGAUCCUGGCUCAGGAUGAACGCUGGCGGCGUGCCUAACACAUGCAAGUCGAGCGAAGCACUUUGCUUAGAUUCUUUCGGGAUGAAGAGUGAUUUGACUGAGCGGCGGACGGGUGAGUAACGCGUGGGCAACCUGCCUCACACAGGGGGAUAACAGUUAGAAAUGACUGCUAAUACCGCAUAAGGCCACAGCACCGCAUGGUGCAGGGGUAAAAACUCCGGUGGUGUGAGAUGGGCCCGCGUCUGAUUAGGUAGUUGGUGAGGUAACGGCUCACCAAGCCGACGAUCAGUAGCCGACCUGAGAGGGUGACCGGCCACAUUGGGACUGAGACACGGCCCAAACUCCUACGGGAGGCAGCAGUGGGGAAUAUUGCACAAUGGGGGAAACCCUGAUGCAGCGACGCCGCGUGAGCGAUGAAGUAUUUCGGUAUGUAAAGCUCUAUCAGCAGGGAAGAAACUGACGGUACCUGACUAAGAAGCACCGGCUAAAUACGUGCCAGCAGCCGCGGU